RNAcentral lists this long non-coding RNA (813 nucleotides) under Anolis carolinensis (green anole). RNAcentral's name for it is "lncRNA (ENSACAG00000023311.3)". Lineage: Eukaryota; Metazoa; Chordata; Lepidosauria; Squamata; Anolidae. The record is from RNAcentral.
AUGCCAGGCAGAUUCUCCCCCGGCUGCCAAGUGGCAGGCCAGCCUCCGCUUGUCCGCACCGAAAGCCGCCCUCCGUCUCCAGUUCCCCAUCCCGGACCUGCGGCCCUGGCCCGAGAGGCGGCCCGAGACCCAGAAGGCCGUGCGCAAGGAGAGCCUGCUCCUGGACCUCACCGCCGUGGAGUUCCACACGGAGCUCGGCCCGUCGGGCAUCACCAAGGUGGAGGUUUCCUGCAGCGACUUGCAUGGUUUGUACGAAGACGGCGAGAAGUUCUCGGUGCCCUGCUUCCGGGUUGGCAAAAGCCCCGAUUUGUCAGCCAAAACGACGGGAAAGAAAUACAUCAUUCCAAAGAUGGCCCUGACCCUCCGCCCCCGGGCCGGCGGUGUCCAAUGGGAUCCGUCCCUCCCAAAGCCCGAGGAGAUGGAGCUCUCCUCGGCCGAGAGCCCCUGCGAGCUGAAGCAGCCCGAGCCUUCGCCCUUCUCCUCCAAGCGGACCAUGUACGAGACCGAGGAGAUGGUGAUCCCCGGGGAUCCAGAAGAGAUGGCCAAAUUCCAGGCUCAGACGCUGGAGGCUUCCCAGUACGCGCUGGAGGUGUCCUUCCCCACAAUGCACCUCUUCCUCCCCAGCAAAGAGUUUUACGAGAGCAUCUACAACAGGAUCAACAACGACCUGUUGAUGUGGGUGCCCUACAGCCUGCCCCCCAGCCCCUCGGAGACACCACUGGGGUCCAGUUCCACAACGUCCCCUUUUGCCAGCGAAGGGCCUUCCUGCAUGCGAUGGCCGGAGAACUUCAAGAUGUGCAAGUCGGCCUUUAA